RNAcentral lists this non-coding RNA (389 nucleotides) under Pongo abelii (Sumatran orangutan). Lineage: Eukaryota; Metazoa; Chordata; Mammalia; Primates; Hominidae. The record is from RNAcentral.
UACUUAUUAAUGCAUUAUUACCUGUGAGUAAGAAAAAGGUGCUUGCAUUUCAGAAGUUUGUGUGAAUCACAUGUCCUCCUCAUUUCCUACCAGAGUUCAGAUACAGAGGACCAACUGGACUUGUCAGACUCUGAAACUUCAACUUCUCAGCUCCACUUGAACCUCAGGCAUAGAGAUGGAAUCUGAAGUGGACCAGAGGGUGGCUUCUUGGAGAUGGUGAGGCAUGGCCACAGGAGGAACAGGAUGCAUGACAGCUGCUUCCCACACAGAUAUACCGCAUCUAAGAAGAUGUCACCACCCCCACGAGAAAUAUCUACUGUAUGCUCAUGUUUGAAUGGGUGUGUAUAUAUAUAUAGAUUCAAUAUAUACAUAUGUUGCAAAGAACUGAA